This 1346-nucleotide ribosomal RNA is filed under the name uncultured bacterium. Its description in RNAcentral is "bacterial SSU rRNA". It matches the Rfam family "Bacterial small subunit ribosomal RNA", at positions 28 to 1381 of the family's 1533-position model. The record is from RNAcentral.
GACGAACGCUGGCGGCGUGCUUAACACAUGCAAGUCGAACGGAAAGGCCCUGCUUUUGUGGGGUGCUCGAGUGGCGAACGGGUGAGUAACACGUGAGUAACCUGCCCUUGACUUUGGGAUAACUUCAGGAAACUGGGGCUAAUACCGGAUAGGAGCUCCUGCUGCAUGGUGGGGGUUGGAAAGUUUCGGCGGUUGGGGAUGGACUCGCGGCUUAUCAGCUUGUUGGUGGGGUAGUGGCUUACCAAGGCUUUGACGGGUAGCCGGCCUGAGAGGGUGACCGGCCACAUUGGGACUGAGAUACGGCCCAGACUCCUACGGGAGGCAGCAGUGGGGAAUAUUGCACAAUGGGCGGAAGCCUGAUGCAGCAACGCCGCGUGCGGGAUGACGGCCUUCGGGUUGUAAACCGCUUUCGCCUGUGACGAAGCGUGAGUGACGGUAAUGGGUAAAGAAGCACCGGCUAACUACGUGCCAGCAGCCGCGGUGAUACGUAGGGUGCGAGCGUUGUCCGGAUUUAUUGGGCGUAAAGGGCUCGUAGGUGGUUGAUCGCGUCGGAAGUGUAAUCUUGGGGCUUAACCCUGAGCGUGCUUUCGAUACGGGUUGACUUGAGGAAGGUAGGGGAGAAUGGAAUUCCUGGUGGAGCGGUGGAAUGCGCAGAUAUCAGGAGGAACACCAGUGGCGAAGGCGGUUCUCUGGGCCUUUCCUGACGCUGAGGAGCGAAAGCGUGGGGAGCGAACAGGCUUAGAUACCCUGGUAGUCCACGCUGUAAACGGUGGGUACUAGGUGUGGGGUCCAUUCCACGGGUUCCGUGCCGUAGCUAACGCUUUAAGUACCCCGCCUGGGGAGUACGGCCGCAAGGCUAAAACUCAAAGGAAUUGACGGGGCCCCGCACAAGCGGCGGAGCAUGCGGAUUAAUUCGAUGCAACGCGUAGAACCUUACCUGGGUUUGACAUGGAUCGGGAGCGCUCAGAGAUGGGUGUGCCUCUUUUGGGGUCGGUUCACAGGUGGUGCAUGGCUGUCGUCAGCUCGUGUCGUGAGAUGUUGGGUUAAGUCCCGCAACGAGCGCAACCCUUGUUCACUGUUGCCAGCACGUUAUGGUGGGGACUCAGUGGAGACCGCCGGGGUCAACUCGGAGGAAGGUGGGGAUGGCGUCAAGUCAUCAUGCCCCUUAUGUCCAGGGCUUCACGCAUGCUACAAUGGCUGGUACAGAGAGUGGCGAGCCUGUGAGGGUGAGCGAAUCUCGGAAAGCCGGUCUCAGUUCGGAUUGGGGUCUGCAACUCGACCUCAUGAAGUCGGAGUCGCUAGUAAUCGCAGAUCGGCAACGCUGCGGUGAAUACGUUCCCGGGGCU